This 257-nucleotide ribosomal RNA is filed under the name uncultured Anaerolineaceae bacterium. RNAcentral describes it as "partial 16S ribosomal RNA". It matches the Rfam family "Bacterial small subunit ribosomal RNA", at positions 1125 to 1382 of the family's 1533-position model. The record is from RNAcentral. Lineage: Bacteria; Bacillati; Chloroflexota; Anaerolineae; Anaerolineales; Anaerolineaceae.
AUGUUAUAUGUGUCAGUACGAGUACUGCCGGUAAAAGCCGGAGGAAGGUGAGGAUGAUGUCAAGUCAGCAUGACCUUUAUAUCCAGGGCUACACACACGCUACAAUGGUCUGUACAAUGGGUAGCCAAGCCGCGAGGCGGAGCCAACCCUGAAAGCAGGCCUCAGUUCAGAUUGCAGUCUGCAACUCGACUGCAUGAAGCCGGAGUUGCUAGUAACCGCAGGUCAGCAAUACUGCGGUGAAUACGUUCCCGGGUCUU